CAACGUGUUCACAGCUGCACAGAGAGAACAAUGAAACCCGUGUGCUGAUGGUAUAAGCCCCUCAUGUGACAACCAUGAACAUGCCAGCCAACGUUCCCCUGGUUGAGUCUGCCUUUGGGCCAUUGCAAGCUGGCAAUGUAGUCUUAUCAACCUCCACAGCCAAAAACCCAUGAAAUUGUGAAGAUACCUGAUUCCCCUUCUACACCACUUCCAUUAGAUGGCUGCAGGCUUCAGUCUCCUCUGUGUGUCUACGUCCAUUAGAUGGCUGCAGGCUUCAGUCUCCUCUGUGUGUCUACGUCCUUACUCACCAAGAGCUGCUCCACAACAAAGCAUUACAGACAACCUACGAGAUGUCACACAAAAUCCAGACUGGUACAAGGGAGUAGAGCAGCAGCACUGAAUGGCAUCAGCUUAGGAAAAGGAGAAUAACAUCAUCAUCAAGGUUUGUCAUGUACCAGGGGAGACAUCCACUGACCACCAACGGAUCUGGUAUGCAGACCAUAGAGAUGAAAAGGGGGCUGUACAUUGAAAAACUUCUUCCCAUGUGGCUUUGUAGUCCACCCAGAUGCCCCAUGGUUAGGAUCACCUCCAGAUCUGACACAAGUGUGAGCUCCCACUUUGGAGUCUUGGAGGCUAAAGGGGUCAAGUGUACAACGUUAUGUGGACUGCCCUUACCUGAAGAUACAGAAUGGAGAGCUGAAGAUGAAGACAUCAUGCCUACUACUGGCAGGGGCCAGGUCACAUCCUUCUAACAGGUUGUAGCUGUUGUGACUUUGUCAUCCGUGCUCAGGUGGAUAUUCUAGUUGAGAGGAUGUAUAAAGAUCUUCACGUUUCAAACACUAUAAAAGAGAAGGUUGACCACUACUAUUUACCGCUACUUGCCUCGCAACUGAAUGUAUCCCCCUGCUUGGGUACCAGUUCAGUUGUUACAAUUUAAUAUUAAGAAUUAGUAUUGUUUGAAGUUGUUACAUUUUAGCACCUGUAGAAACUCAGUUUUCCAAACAAGGGCCACUAGGGGCAGUGCAAGGGAGUGUUUUGGUGUUUUACCUCUGGUCGAAAAAUCAAGUGAAGUCACUCAACGUGAGAUUAUAAUUAAAUUAUAAUUAAAAAAUUAAAAAACUUGCAUUGGGAUUAUUUUAAAUAGGCCUUUAGCAUAUUCCAUGACUGAAUGUUUCAUACCCACUUCCACAUAUUACAAACCAG
Long non-coding RNA from Esox lucius (northern pike), 1203 nucleotides. The record is from Ensembl. NCBI's taxonomy places the organism in Eukaryota, Metazoa, Chordata, Actinopteri, Esociformes, Esocidae.